GGGUUGUGAGGUUAAGCGACUAAGCGUACACGGUGGAUGCCCUGGCAGUCAGAGGCGAUGAAGGGCGUGCUAAUCUGCGAUAAGCGCCGGUAAGGUGAUAUGAACCGUUAUAACCGGCGAUACCCGAAUGGGGAAACCCAGUGUGAUUCGUCACACUAUCAUUAACUGAAUCCAUAGGUUAAUGAGGCGAACCGGGGGAACUGAAACAUCUAAGUACCCCGAGGAAAAGAAAUCAACCGAGAUUCCCCCAGUAGCGGCGAGCGAACGGGGAGGAGCCCAGAGCCUGAAUCAGCAUGUGUGUUAGUGGAAGCGUCUGGAAAGGCGCGCGAUACAGGGUGACAGCCCCGUACACAAAAGCGCAUGUGCUGUGAGCUCGAUGAGUAGGGCGGGACACGUGGUAUCCUGUCUGAAUAUGGGGGGACCAUCCUCCAAGGCUAAAUACUCCUGACUGACCGAUAGUGAACCAGUACCGUGAGGGAAAGGCGAAAAGAACCCCGGCGAGGGGAGUGAAAAAGAACCUGAAACCGUGUACGUACAAGCAGUGGGAGCCCCACCACUAAGCCAGUGGUGAACUCCACAUACGCAUCCUUUGCUGAGGAUACGGUUAACGGAGCGCAAGCGACGUUCAACCUCAAAAGAAGCAGAGGGGGCUUAGUGGUGGGGUGACUGCGUACCUUUUGUAUAAUGGGUCAGCGACUUAUAUUCUGUAGCAAGGUUAACCGAAUAGGGGAGCCGGAGGGAAACCGAGUCUUAAUUGGGCGUUAAGUUGCAGGGUAUAGACCCGAAACCCGGUGAUCUAGCCAUGGGCAGGUUGAAGGUUGGGUAACACUAACUGGAGGACCGAACCGACUAAUGUUGAAAAAUUAGCGGAUGACCUGUGGCUGGGGGUGAAAGGCCAAUCAAACCGGGAGAUAGCUGGUUCUCCCCGAAAGCUAUUUAGGUAGCGCCUCGUGAAUUCAUCUCCGGGGGUAGAGCACUGUUUCGGCUAGGGGGCCAUCCCGGCUUACCAACCCGAUGCAAACUGCGAAUACCGGAGAAUGUUAUCACGGGAGACACACGGCGGGUGCUAACGUCCGUCGUGAAGAGGGAAACAACCCAGACCGCCAGCUAAGGUCCCAAAGUCAUGGUUAAGUGGGAAACGAUGUGGGAAGGCCCAGACAGCCAGGAUGUUGGCUUAGAAGCAGCCAUCAUUUAAAGAAAGCGUAAUAGCUCACUGGUCGAGUCGGCCUGCGCGGAAGAUGUAACGGGGCUAAACCAUGCACCGAAGCUGCGGCAGCGAACGUAUCACUUAAAGCGAUUCAGCGGGUUACGAUUGACGGAGCGAAGCGACGUCAAAGCGUAUACAAAGUCGAGUCGGUUUAAGGAUACGUUCGUUGGGUAGGGGAGCGUUCUGUAAGCCUGUGAAGGUGGCCUGUGAGGGUUGCUGGAGGUAUCAGAAGUGCGAAUGCUGACAUAAGUAACGAUAAAGCGGGUGAAAAGCCCGCUCGCCGGAAGACCAAGGGUUCCUGUCCAACGUUAAUCGGGGCAGGGUGAGUCGACCCCUAAGGCGAGGCCGAAAGGCGUAGUCGAUGGGAAACGGGUUAAUAUUCCCGUACUUGGUGUUACUGCGAAGGGGGGACGGAGAAGGCUAUGUUGGCCGGGCGACGGUUGUCCCGGUUUAAGCGUGUAGGUGUGUGUUCCAGGUAAAUCCGGUUCACUUUAACACUGAGGCGUGACGACGAGGCACUACGGUGCUGAAGCAACAAAUGCCCUGCUUCCAGGAAAAGCCUCUAAGCAUCAGGUAACAUCAAAUCGUACCCCAAACCGACACAGGUGGUCAGGUAGAGAAUACCAAGGCGCUUGAGAGAACUCGGGUGAAGGAACUAGGCAAAAUGGUGCCGUAACUUCGGGAGAAGGCACGCUGACAUGUAGGUGAAGUGAUUUACUCAUGGAGCUGAAGUCAGUCGAAGAUACCAGCUGGCUGCAACUGUUUAUUAAAAACACAGCACUGUGCAAACACGAAAGUGGACGUAUACGGUGUGACGCCUGCCCGGUGCCGGAAGGUUAAUUGAUGGGGUCAGCGCAAGCGAAGCUCCUGAUCGAAGCCCCGGUAAACGGCGGCCGUAACUAUAACGGUCCUAAGGUAGCGAAAUUCCUUGUCGGGUAAGUUCCGACCUGCACGAAUGGCGUAAUGAUGGCCAGGCUGUCUCCACCCGAGACUCAGUGAAAUUGAACUCGCUGUGAAGAUGCAGUGUACCCGCGGCAAGACGGAAAGACCCCGUGAACCUUUACUAUAGCUUGACACUGAACAUUGAGCCUUGAUGUGUAGGAUAGGUGGGAGGCUUUGAAGUGUGGACGCCAGUCUGCAUGGAGCCGGCCUUGAAAUACCACCCUUUAAUGUUUGAUGUUCUAACGUGGACCCGUGAUCCGGGUUGCGGACAGUGUCUGGUGGGUAGUUUGACUGGGGCGGUCUCCUCCUAAAGAGUAACGGAGGAGCACGAAGGUUGGCUAAUCCUGGUCGGACAUCAGGAGGUUAGUGCAAUGGCAUAAGCCAGCUUGACUGCGAGCGUGACGGCGCGAGCAGGUGCGAAAGCAGGUCAUAGUGAUCCGGUGGUUCUGAAUGGAAGGGCCAUCGCUCAACGGAUAAAAGGUACUCCGGGGAUAACAGGCUGAUACCGCCCAAGAGUUCAUAUCGACGGCGGUGUUUGGCACCUCGAUGUCGGCUCAUCACAUCCUGGGGCUGAAGUAGGUCCCAAGGGUAUGGCUGUUCGCCAUUUAAAGUGGUACGCGAGCUGGGUUUAGAACGUCGUGAGACAGUUCGGUCCCUAUCUGCCGUGGGCGCUGGAGAACUGAGGGGGGCUGCUCCUAGUACGAGAGGACCGGAGUGGACGCAUCACUGGUGUUCGGGUUGUCAUGCCAAUGGCACUGCCCGGUAGCUAAAUGCGGAAGAGAUAAGUGCUGAAAGCAUCUAAGCACGAAACUUGCCCCGAGAUGAGUUCUCCCUGAGACUUUAGGUCUCCUGAAGGAACGUUGAAGACGACGACGUUGAUAGGCCGGGUGUGUAAGCGCAGCGAUGCGUUGAGCUAACCGGUACUAAUGAACCGUGAGGCUUAACCUUACAACGCCGAAG
Molecule: ribosomal RNA, 3109 nt
Filed under: Salmonella enterica subsp. enterica serovar Koessen str. S-1501
Lineage: Bacteria; Pseudomonadati; Pseudomonadota; Gammaproteobacteria; Enterobacterales; Enterobacteriaceae
Description: bacterial LSU rRNA
Rfam family: Bacterial large subunit ribosomal RNA
Source: RNAcentral